UAAUUUCGAGACGUGUUUUCCGCGUGGCGCCAUGGACAAGUUCCCUGGAAUGGGACAUCGUAGAGGGUGAAAAUCCCGUACUUGCCAUGGACGUACCAUGCUUUGCGAUACACGCUCCAAGAGUCGAGUAGUUUGGGAUUGCUGCUCAAAAUGGGUGGUAGACUCCAUCUAAAGCUAAAUAUCGGGGAGAGACCGAUAGCGAACAAGUACCGUGAGGGAAAGAUGAAAAGCACUUUGGAAAGAGAGUUAAAAGUACGUGAAAUUGUCGAAAUGGAAGCGCUUGAAGUCAGCCAUGCGGCUGGGGACUCACCUUGGCGUCUCGCUGAGGGUAUUUCUCCAGUAGCAAGUCAGCAUUGGUUUGCGGCGCCGGAGAAGGGUCCAGGGAAGGUGGCACCCUCGGGUGUGUUAUAGCCCUGGACUGGAUACGGCGCGGCGGACCAAGGAACGCAGUGUGCCCUCGUGGCGGGUCUUUGGACACCUUCACACUUAGGAUGCUGGCGUAAUGGCU
This 508-nucleotide ribosomal RNA is filed under the name Malassezia slooffiae. Its description in RNAcentral is "LSU rRNA". It matches the Rfam family "Eukaryotic large subunit ribosomal RNA", at positions 146 to 639 of the family's 3401-position model. The record is from RNAcentral. Lineage: Eukaryota; Fungi; Basidiomycota; Malasseziomycetes; Malasseziales; Malasseziaceae.